GAUGAACGCUGGCGGCGUGCCUAAUACAUGCAAGUCGAGCGAAUGGAUUAAGAGCUUGCUCUUAUGAAGUUAGCGGCGGACGGGUGAGUAACACGUGGGUAACCUGCCCAUAAGACUGGGAUAACUCCGGGAAACCGGGGCUAAUACCGGAUAACAUUUUGAACCGCAUGGUUCGAAAUUGAAAGGCGGCUUCGGCUGUCACUUAUGGAUGGACCCGCGUCGCAUUAGCUAGUUGGUGAGGUAACGGCUCACCAAGGCAACGAUGCGUAGCCGACCUGAGAGGGUGCUCGGCCACACUGGGCCUGAGACACGGCCCAGACUCCUACGGGGGGCAGCAGUAGGGAAUCUUCCGCAAUGGACGAAAGUCUGACGGAGCAACGCCGCGUGAGUGAGGAAGGCUUUCGGGUCGUAAAACUCUGUUGUUAGGGAAGAACAAGUGCUAGUUGAAUAAGCUGACACCUUGACGGUACCUAACCAGAAAGCCACGGCUAACUACGUGCCAGCAGCCGCCGUAA
Molecule: ribosomal RNA, 515 nt
Filed under: uncultured bacterium
Lineage: Bacteria
Description: partial 16S ribosomal RNA
Rfam family: Bacterial small subunit ribosomal RNA
Source: RNAcentral